GUGGGGAAUAUUGGGCAAUGGGGGAAACCCUGACCCAGCAACGCCGCGUGAGGGAAGAAGGUUUUCGGAUUGUAAACCUCUGUCCUUGGUGACGAAGGAAGUGACGGUAACCAAGGAGGAAGCCCCGGCUAACUACGUGCCAGCAGCCGCGGUAAUACGUAGGGGGCAAGCGUUGUCCGGAAUGACUGGGCGUAAAGGGCGUGUAGGCGGCCGAUUAAGUCUGGAGUGAAAGUCCUGCUUUCAAGGUGGGAAUUGCUUUGGAGACUGGUUGGCUUGAGUGCGGAAGAGGUAAGUGGAAUUCCCAGUGUAGCGGUGAAAUGCGUAGAGAUUGGGAGGAACACCAGUGGCGAAGGCGACUUACUGGGCCGUAACUGACGCUGAGGCGCGAAAGCGUGGGGAGCGAACAGGAUUAGAAACCCGGGUAGUCC
Molecule: ribosomal RNA, 428 nt
Filed under: uncultured bacterium
Lineage: Bacteria
Description: partial 16S ribosomal RNA
Rfam family: Bacterial small subunit ribosomal RNA
Source: RNAcentral